Molecule: ribosomal RNA, 498 nt
Filed under: uncultured bacterium
Lineage: Bacteria
Description: partial 16S ribosomal RNA
Rfam family: Bacterial small subunit ribosomal RNA
Source: RNAcentral
AUUGAACGCUGGCGGCAUGCUUUACACAUGCAAGUCGAACGGUAACAGGCCGCAAGGUGCUGACGAGUGGCGAACGGGUGCGUAAUGCAUCGGAACGUGCCCAGUCGUGGGGGAUAACGCAGCGAAAGCUGUGCUAAUACCGCAUACGAUCUAUGGAUGAAAGCGGGGGACCGUAAGGCCUCGCGCGCUUGGAGCGGCCGAUGUCUGAUUAGGUAGUUGGUGGGGUAAAGGCUCACCAUGCGAACGAUCUGUAGCUGGUCUGAGAGGACGAGCAGCAAGGCUGGGACAGAGACACGGCCAAGACUCCGACGGGAGUCAGCAGUGGGGAGUGUAGGACAAGGGGCGCAAGCCUGAUUCAGCAAUACAACGUGCAGGAAGAAGGCUUUCGGGUUGUAAACUGCUUUUGUACGGAACGAAAAGGUUUGGGUUAAUACCCUGGGCCGAUGACGGUACCGUAAGAAUAAGCACCGGCUAACUACGUGCCAGCCGCCGCAGUAA